UUUCGCAAUGCCCGAAAGGGUGACGAAGCGACGCCGCGUGGGUGAAGAAGGCCUUCGGGUUGUAAAGCCCUGUCAGGAGUUAAGAAGUGUAGGCUCGCUAAUAUCGGGUCUAUUUGACAAAGGCUCCAAAGGAAGCCACGGCUAACUCUGUGCCAGCAGCCGCGGUAAUACAGAGGUGGCAAGCGUUGUUCGGAAUUAUUGGGCGUAAAGAGCACGUAGGUGGAUUUGUAAGUCAGAUGUGAAAGCCUUCUGUUCAACGGGAGAAUUGCAUCUGAAACUACAAACCUUGAGUAUAGGAGGGGAGAAUGGAACUUCUGGUGGAGCGGUGAAAUGCGUAGAUAUCAGAAGGAACGCCGGCGGCGAAAGCGAUCCUCUGGCCUAUUACUGACACUCAGUGUGCGAAAGCUAGGGGAGCAAACGGGAUUAGAUACCCCGGUAGUCCUAGCCGUAAACGAUGGGCACUAAGUAGAGGGGUUUUA
This 479-nucleotide ribosomal RNA is filed under the name uncultured bacterium. RNAcentral's name for it is "bacterial SSU rRNA". It matches the Rfam family "Bacterial small subunit ribosomal RNA", at positions 364 to 833 of the family's 1533-position model. The record is from RNAcentral.